This is a long non-coding RNA of Equus caballus (horse), 2524 nucleotides long. RefSeq lists it as uncharacterized. NCBI's taxonomy places the organism in Eukaryota, Metazoa, Chordata, Mammalia, Perissodactyla, Equidae. The record is from RefSeq and is a predicted model, not a curated record.
GGCGCCGGCGGAGAAGUUUGCCUUCGGAGGGGAUGGGGAGUGCCGAACCGCUCCACCAUAGGGGACCCUCGGCGCCCUGGGCUUCCAGCAGUCGGCCCGGUGUGCCGGGCGGAGAACAGCGAGAGGCUGGUGGGGAGAGCUCGGCCGGGCAGCGCUCUUUCCCCUGGCCCCGGGCUGAGUGGCGCUGGGCAGCCGAGUUUACAAACACGGGCCCGGGAAGGGUAGCUAAUUCCGGCUGCCAGUGGGGAAAUGUCUAGUGCCUGUGGCAGGUGCCCUUUUCCUUCGGUCUGGGGCUGCUUGCUGUGUGGCCAGGGACAAGUGACUUGACCUCUCUGGCUUUCGCACCGUUCAGAGGCAGAUAAUCUCUAGGGCCGCUACUCGCAGAGUGGUCCAGGGAUUUACAGCAUCGGCAUGGUCUGGGACCUGUUAGAAAUGCAGAAUCUCAGGCUCUGCUAAAAUAGAACCUGCCUUUUAACGAGAUGCCCGGGUGGUUACAAAACGUGUUAAAGUUUGAGAAGCGCCGGUCUAGAGCCUCUUCAGGCCCGAGAGCCGGUGCAUGUGGGCUGUCCUGGGGGUAGGUGGGAGGGGCCGACGAGGGAGGAGAUCUGCAGCCUUCUGCUGCUCUUCCCGCCCUUCCUGUCCCUCCCUCAAGGGGCCUGGAGCUGGGUUAGGGCCCAGGGGACUGCUCUCUGCUCAGGUUUCUUGCAGUGGGACCAGCUGCCCCUUGGGGUCUGACAAGCCCAGAAGGUCAGAGCCUGGAGCCAGAGGACAACCUCCUCAGGGGACAACCUGAGGCCCAGAGUGGGAAGGGAGGACCCUGGAGACUGUUUUUUCUACUUUUGCCUGCCCUCCAGUCAGGCCGGAAUAGGUGGUACCAUAAACUUGAUGAUCAGUCCCCUGGAGACCCUGAGAGACCCCAAACGGUGACAAUAUUUAGUAGUUUUUCACUGAACUUGAAUCUCUCUCUGCUUCCGCUUUGCUUGUGCUGCCUGUGGGAAUUCACUACUGUCCCCACCCUGGAUGAUUCUAUUCCCCACCCUGUGCCUAGUCCAGCGGGAUGAGUUUUGGUCCCAAGUACAAUGUCUCCCCUGCUUUCCUUGUUUCUCCUUUAUUCUCACUUCAGAAAACCUCACCAAGCCCUGACCCCUCAUGUCUUCCUGGCUCCACAGGGAAACUGAGGCUGACUUCCAUCAGCAGAAUCAGAGGGUUGGCUGACAGGGAGGACGGGGCCAUCAACCUGAGCCUGGCCUGUGACUUGGAAUGGAGCUGUUGACAGGGGGACAUCCAUCCUGGGUUUAAGUGCUGGCUCUGCCGCAAACACGCUGUGUGACCCCCAGCAAGCCCUUACGACUCUCUGGGCCCCAGUUUCUCCCUCUGUGUGGAGAGGGAGGGAGAUGAGCAGGACGAUGUCUAAGGGUCCGAGAAUCUGUGUUCUCUGACCUGAGUCAACCUCUCAGUCUGCAAAGUGGGCCAAGGGUGAGUUCCAUCUGCGCAGAGGCAGGAGGAGACUGGAGGAGGAGCCCUGUUCCAGGCCUGACCCUUCCACAGGCUGGAAGAGGAGACCACAGUGAGCGUGGGUUCCCUUGCCUCCUGGCCCUUCGGAGAGCCUUAGAAGCUGUCCCCGUCUGUCCGUGGCACAGCAUGAACUGGACCCCCUGUCCCAAGCUGUGAAGGGCAAGUAAAGUCGGCACAGACGAUCCAACUGGGAAAGGGCUUGGGUACCACCUGGGCUGAUGUGCCCAAUGUACAGAUGUACAGAUGGGAGGUUAAGGCCUGGAGAAGGGAAAGGUCAUGACUGAUGUCACAGAGCAACUUAGAGCUGAAGCCGGGUAUCCAGUCCCCUAAUCUGGUGUUCUUUGUCUUCACCCCUGCUCUGUGCUUCCACCGGCUUCUUGUUGAUUCCAAAGCUCUUUGGCAUUAAAGCCUUUACCCUGUUGCCUCAGAGCAGCCUGGCAUGUCUUCCCUGCCCCAGCACUGCCAGGCCCCUGCCCCUGCGUGGCAGGAGUUACAAGCUGGUUUUGUUUAAAGUUCAUGCCUGUUUCCAUCCCUCCAGGCUGGGCUCCUGGCCAAUGUCUCAUCCAGGUGCCAACCCCUGGAGGGCCUGAGCUACCGAGCCCAUCCCCAACAGGCUGGGGGAGUGGGGGACUCGAAGGAUGGGAUGCACAAAAACGAGCUCAGACUGGAGAGGGUCAGGUCACGACAACAAUGACUCACCCUGAGUGACGGUUAACAGGGUACUUUCACAUCCUGCUGACCUCACAAGAGCCCUGGAAGCUAGGCUGAGCUGCUGAACCUUCCCCACUUUGCAGGGAGAAGGAUGAGCGAUGGGACAGAAGCAGAGAUUGGAAGGGUGCAUCUACCGGCCACGGAACGCCAAAGACUGCUGGCAACACCAGAAGCUAGGAGAGAGGGACGAAACAGCUCCUCCCUCAGAAGCUCCAGAAGGAACCAAACUAGCUGCUAACUUGAUUUUGGACUUCUAGCCUCCAGAACUGUGACAGAAUAAAUUUCUGUUUUAAGUCAC